This 8030-nucleotide long non-coding RNA is filed under the name Lynx pardinus (Iberian lynx). The stretch from base 320 to 404 matches the Rfam family "tRNA". The record is from RNAcentral. Lineage: Eukaryota; Metazoa; Chordata; Mammalia; Carnivora; Felidae.
GUGUGGCCAGCCCAGCCUUCAGGUGAGCAUCAUCAAGCCAUUUGUGGGUGGCAUCAGAUGGUCAGAGCAGUGCAGGACGACCUGGGGAGCAGCCCAUCUGGGGCUCCCUGCGGGUGUUUCGGAUGUGGGGUCCCGCGGGCGGUACUUAUGGUGGUCACGAUGCUGGGAGGGACGACUGGCGCUUGGCAGGCAGGGAUGCGCGCGGGUCUCUAACGUGCCCAGUGAGAAAUGGUGACUGCAUCCCAGGGAAAACUGCAAAUGUCCCUCCAGGCAUUCCUGUGGGUGAAAAACUUGUUGAAAAUGAUCUGAGCCUAGGGACGCCUGGGUAGCUCCGUUGGUUGAGUGUCUGACUUCAGCUCAGGUCAUGAUCUCACGGUUCGUGGGUUCAAGCCCCGCAUGGGGCUCUGUGCGGACAGCUCGGAGCCUGGAGCCUGCUACGGAUCCUGUGUCUCCCUCUCUCUGCCCCUCUCCUGCUUGUCCUCUAUCUUUCUCUCUCAAAAAUAAAACAGACAUUAAAAAGUCGUUCUAGAAAAUGAUCGGAGCCUAGAACUGGACCCUGCUUUUCACAUUUUACAUAUCAGCACACAGUUUGGGGGUAGGGUUUUUUUUUUGUUUGUUUGUUUGCUUUUUUGUUUGUUUGCACAAUUUUAACAAAAAAGGAGUCUCCCAUGCUUGCAACUAGAGCGACAGUUGAGGACAGAUCGUCUCUUGUUUUGUCACGGGAUUUUACCGAGAGUGUCCACUCUUCCAGACACGUCCCUCAACGCGAGGCUGCUCGUGGUAUUUCAGUGUCAGAUACAGCGUCACGGCACCAGCCCGCGUUUGGAAACGUCACAUUCGUGGUGAGGAGAUGAGCAGGUGCCUCAGUUCCACUGCUUCCCUAGUGUCCGGCUGCCGAGGCACUGAAAACAAAACAUCGUUUGGUUGUAAAUCACUGCCCUUUUAUUUCUCCUUUGCGUUACAGGCUAGGGCACUAUUAUCCUGAUUUUUAUAAUUAUGUAUGUGAAUAGGUCGUGUUAUCGAUGAACUUUACUUCUGGAGGGAGAAGGAGGGACCACCGAGCAUUCGUUACAGGACAGAAAUGCUGUCCCACUGUUUCACGGAUGGGAAAUCUGAGUCCAGGAUGUCAUUGUGACCUGCUGGAUGUCACCCUAGGAAGGGGCAGGACGGAACUGGAGCGCAGGUCCCUCGGGAUUCCUGGUCCCGGGCUCUUUCUGCUUCCUCAACAGCCCUUAGCAGCCCUCCUCGGCCUGUCUUCUCACCAUAAGCCCUGCUCCCUGUUAUAAAGGGAAACGAAAGAUUUUUACCAACGUGUCGACUUUUGUUUGUCGUGUCGUGGAAACUUCCUGAAAAGGCCUCGAGGCCCUAGGCUGUGUGAGCCCAGCAGUCUGCCGGUGUGCGGGGCCUCUCUGGGCUGUACCAUCCGGUCACUCUGGCCACGCUCCCUCUGGAGCCAGGGGGAGGGACCAGAUGACCUCCUGUGACCUCAUCCAGCCAGCACUAUUUUCCCCCUUUCUAGAUUGUUUUUCCAAUCACCAAGUGAAUCUGAGUGAGACUCUCUAUUCUUUCGACGACUACCUUUCAACUCAAGUUAUGGUUUUAUAAAUAAUAUAUAUGGCAAGUCGGGACUGGGGAAAGGACGUUCAUUCGGCUCUGAAAUAUUUAUGGCCUGGAGUGUCUGCUUACUUUUCUUUGGAGUCAUUUUUUAGCAUGGCGUGCCAGAAAGUGCGACAGCCCAGGGCAUCUUCGGAAAGGGAGGCACGGAUGGCCCUUCCAGCCAGGCUGCGGGGCCUAUCCAUCCUGCGGCCGACAGGGGAGGGGACGGCGCUGCCCGGGGGAGCGCUCCUGAGCCCAGACCUCCUAAAUUAUCUCGGGGAAGGCUCUGCUCGGGUGACAAGAAUCAGCUUUCCAGCGUGCAGUUUGAAUACUAACAGACUCUAUAUCAGGCUUUCUCAGAUAUGUUCUGGAACCCUUGGGCCUUUCUUGGGAGGUGUGCAUUCUAACCUUCAUUUUACAGAUGGAGAAACCGAGGCUCGGCGAGAUCAAGGAAUUUCUCAAGGUCAAAGCCACAAUCCAGUAAGAGCCUGGAUCUUUACCCAGCCUGGCUGCCGUCUUAUUUCAAUCUUUUCUCCUUACCCCACGAUGCUGCCCAGCCUAGCCCAUCACUCACCCGCAGCUGGGAGCCAGUGAAUGGAUUGUAGACCAGUUUCUGAGGCUGCACAGGCCGGUCUGUAACGGUUUGCAAUGCCGGGGGCCUUGGAUGUGGGACUAGCCUAGCAAUCUGUGCUGAACAGCCGGGCUCGAAUCCCAAUCCUAACGGAAAGACCCACAGAGUCAUCUUGUUCAACUUCCCAUGUUACAGGUGGGAUGUGAGGAGCCUGGCAGGCGUAGGGGUUUGCUCAAGGCCGCAGAGAUAGUUGGAACCCAUUGGUCACAAUGGUGUCUCUUGGAGACAUCUGGUCAACCUCGUCUCCCUCUCAUUACCCCUUUUCUUACAGGGGAAAACCAGCACCUGGAGAGUUAAAAGCUCGAUCAGCGUCACAACGGUGGAUGGCUAUAGGGCCGUGUGCUUCCCUGGUCUGGCUGUAAAUCGGCGAGGGAGUCAAAUAAUUUUGAGACUGUGCUUGAGGAAAAAAUUCCAGGGCGUUUCUAAACUAGUUGGACCAUGGAGUGGGCUGUAGUUGAUAAAUUAUAGAUAUUUAAUCAGUGAUCGGAUUGAGUAGUGAGGACAGGAAUGUCUCACACCGUUGCUCCACUGGGAAAGACACUUCUUUUCCUGAUAGUUGGUGACUCUAGGCACCCUGUGGGGCCAGGCUGGCACUGAGUCAUAACGGGGGCAGGCAACAGAGAAUAGUUGUGAAAUCAGUCGGAGACAACAUUUCUGGAGAAGUCUGGCUCAACUCUGAGCCAGAUGGAACUGUCGGGCUGUCCUGCUCUGGCCGCCUUGGGCCUGGUACCCCCUCCCUGCUCCUGCCAUAGGACCCCCCCCCCCCCCGUGGUAGAUAUAAUCUUCAGAGAUGGCCCCCACAGUGAGCCGUGCCUCCUGGAGUUCACGCUCUUGUACAGCCCUCUCCCCUUGAAUGUGGGCUGGCCCUGUGUGCACCAAUAGAUGUCGCGGACGUGACCGAGUGACUUCCAAGGCCACGUCGGAAGAAGAGGCUCCUCGGAGGUGACCUCUCCACAAACGAGAGCACGUGCAGGCAUGGGGGAAAGCGGGGGCCUAUGGAAGGAGGGUCUCUCUGCCCUUCCCUCUGGACAGCCCUGCCUCACCUUGAGUCAUUCUUAGACCUCACCUCUGCCCUUGGUUUCUGACCAUCUCCCAAAAAGUGUGGUCAGCAGGCCCGAACUGUCAGCGUGUGAGGGGUGUCCCAUUUGACCUGAGCAGCAUUCUGGUCAUGUGCAGAGGGACCGCACAUUGUCCGCGAUGGUACCCUGUUGGCUUUGGAGAUGCAGGAGGGCCAUGCGCCAAGGGAUGCAGAAAGUCUGCAGGAGGAGGAAGAGGCGAGUGGACAAGAUUCUCCCCAGAGUCUCCGGAGUGGGAAGCAGCCAAUGCUGACCCCCCGAAGAACGCAGUGAGCCCGCGUCAGAUCUCCAACUCCAGAACUCGAAGGUAAUCGAUAUGCAUGGUUUUAAGCUGCUACAUUUGUGGUCACUUGCUACAGCAGCUGUAGAAAACUAAUCCAGUGGGGCUCAGAGAGGCUCUGUAACUUACCCGAAAUGACACAGUGUUAGGAGCGAUCCCAGGUCAGCCUGACCCCAGAGCCCUUGUUCCUCUCUGCUCCACACUGCCUCCUGCUGGUGCUCAAGGUGGCCUCCAAACGGGGGCGGGGAGAGCUCGGGCGAACUGGGUACUUGAAGAAUGGGGCAGAGAGACACAAAGCCGGGAGGGAUCUGUGACCCUGCUGCCCAUGGAGAGGCCCCCUCUCUUGGCCCCAGCUUCGAACAAGACAAACUGUGAGAUCAUGAUCCGAGUCAAAGUCAGACGCUCAACCGACUGAGCCACCCAGGUGCCCCUAGCCUGUUAUAUUUUUACGUUACUUAACGUAUCUUGCUUAUUUCGUGCCUCCCUCCGUAGAAUUUUAGUUCCGGGAGGGGACGGACUUUGUACAUCUUCUCCUCCAAGGUGUCCCCAGACCAAACACAGUGCCUGGUACAAGACAGGUGCUCCAAACGCGUUUGUUGACUGAGUGAGUGAGCGAAUGACAGCGUAAUGAGUGAAAGCGGUCCUCUGUGGACGUGAGUCUCCCACCGAGGCAUCGCUGAGGGCUGGGGAUUUGUGGGACUGAUUUUCUCACAAAGGGGCCAGCAGCGAGUACACCGGGUUGGGGAGGGGACUUUUAGGAGGCUGGCGGAAGCAGCUAUGAUCUGAGCGCACGAAAUGGGCUUGACACGGCCAACCUCACAGGCCUGAAGGACACGGAAGGAGUCCUUGGCCUCCAGUGACUUUCAGCGAGGCGGGGGGUGGGGCGGGCACCUGGGGUUAUUUAUAGCUUGAGUGGACUGUGUUCUCCAUUCGGAAGGAGCAGAGAACAAGGAGCAUGAGCUGAGUCAUGAGCUUGGGGAACGGGCAGUGGUGGGGAGGGUCUGGGGCCCCUGGAGUGAGUGGGGGACGGGCAGAGGGAAGGGAGCAGGACCUGGGAUUCCAAAGCGACGGGUGACUCUAGAAGGUCAGGUCCCCAGAAAGCGGACUCGGGCUGGAGACUUUGUGCCGGAAGGUUAAUGGGGUUGCUCCUUGGAUCAGUGCCUAAGAGGGAAGGGCAGCGGCGGGGCUCAGAGGGAGAACUGGCCUUGCAGCCAGACCUCAGCCAACCUCAGGGCUGCCGCUGGGCCCCCAGAGCCCCACACUCGGCUCUCAGGGGCACAGGCUGCCCCAGUACGGGGUCCGGCCCGAGGGCAGGGGUGGGGCUCGCCUCAGAGAGGGCCAUGCGGUCACCUUCCCGGCCGGCCGUUGGGGGAUAAUCCCUCGGACUUUCAGGAGUCUUUGGGUGGCCGAGGGAGAGCAGCAGGGGCUGGGGUGCGUGUGGGCAGGUGGGGGCGGAGGGGAAGGAUGUGGAUGUGAAAGAGCAUGGCCACGUGCGGACAGGGUCAGAGCCUCCACGGGCCAGCUGUGUGUGUGUGGGAGCCCGCCUCUGUCGGGGCUGUGUUGCUGAGGGUCCUUGGGGUCCCAUCUCCGGGGGUGGAGAGCCCCUCUCCUUCCUUGGUGACGUCGAGGAGGUGCUGGGGCGGCCCCCAGGGCGGGGGACACUGGGGCCGCCCCACCGUGAGGCCCACGGGGGACUCCGGGCUGAGGGCGAGUGGGGGAAUUUAUAACCAGAGAGCGUCGUCAAAGCCAAGCCCGAGAAACUAAGCCCCGGGUCCCCCCAAAGCCUGCACAGCCAAUCCGGGGCUGGUGAAAACAGCAAUUAUGAGCCGUGUUAUUAAAGGCUGCAGGAUUUUAAUUAACAAUGGAAUUACCGGGCCAGGGAAGGGAUAAUGACGGAUUGCUGGAAGGCAGUUGGGGUUGGCUGUGGGUUGGCUGCCGUUACAGCCUCUGUCAGCCCCUGCUAGGCCCGGGAGCUGGUGGGGCCGCCCCCCCACCUCCCUCCCCAGGCUUUCUAGUUGCUAAUGAGAAGCAUUUGCACAGAGCUCGGGGCCAGGCUGGCCAGAGCUGGCGAUGGCGGCGGUGUGUGUGUUCCUAGGGGGCAGCCGACACCCCAGGACUCCAAGGCCUGGGUGUGGACCGAUGACCGGACCAGAUAGGGGGGUUUCCCGGCAGGGCCAGGAUGGGGAGCCCAGCAGAACCAAGGGACCGCGAGCUACAAGGCCACUGGGAAGGAGGCUGUUCUCAACACUUGGGUCCGCCGCCAGCCUCCCCACAACCUCCUGGGCCUCUUAUACCGCCGGUCCCCGGGUCCCGUCCAUGGGCAGGUUAACGAGGAGAUUCUCAUCAGGUUCAAGUUUCAAAACCAGUGAAUUUGAGGCCUUUGGUUUUCAAAUGUUUGGCUUGUCUCCUGCCUUAGCAACCCUUGCUUCAAAUGCAAUCUUAGGGGGAAAGGGAAUGAACCCAGCAGGGUGCUCCGUCAAUGCCAGGAUUGGGGAGGGGGUGGGUCCCCUUUUGCAAACAGCCCCUGGGAUCGGUUCAGGCAAACGCAAUUUCUUCUCUGUCUCCAGCACCUUCCCCUUCCCUAUGCAGUCCUGGGACGGUUCAGAUGGUGGCCGGAGCGAGGCCUUAAGGAAUGGACUGGGCAGGGCAGCAGCUGAAUUCCUGAAGAUUUUGACCCAGGAAGGACAAACUGAAGAGCGCUUCGUGGCUGAGACUUGGGGUAACGAGGGCAGGCUCUGCAAUCAGACUGCCUGGGUCCAGCUCCGUGGGGGACUCAUACUGCGUGGUGAAACUCACCGCACGAGUUACGACGCUUGCGUGCCUCAGUUUCCUCAGCUGUGAAAUGGGUGUGAGGCGGGACUCUGAGACUCUCUUUCAAACAAGGCAAUGUCAACACCCCGCCCAGUGUCACCUUGUGGAAUGUUCUGGAACUCCAGUGAGGAGCAUGAGCCCACACGGGCCAAGCCCUUAGAACCGUCGGCAGUGACUGGUCAGGAAGUGCUCCCUGUGACGGACCAGCUCAGAGCCAUUUGACAAAGCGCACGGGGCUCCUGCCCAGAGCCUGCCGGGGGUGUCAGGAGACGAGCUCUCUCAGCUUGGAGGCAACCACUGGCAUUUCAACCUUGCCUCUGGCGCCCCCUCCCCACGCGGCCCCCGGCGAGACGCUUGCUCCUCUGAAGCCACUUCCGGAGGGAUGACAAGAGAUGGUUGCCUGGUUCCCAGUCUACAUCAUCCGGGACUUCCCAGUGGCUUUUGGCACAACUGACCUCUGUCCUCCAGAAGCGCGUUCUCAGCUUGUCCUCUGGGACCCUGCACCCUCCUCGCCUUCGCUGGCGGCUCCUCAGCGGGGCGGACAGGCUCUCCCUGAGGGCCUCGGUGCUGUCUCGGUGCACACACGGCUUUUUCAGCUCCUCCUGGGUAACUGGGGCGGACGGAUGACUCUCUUGGUUUCUGUGGCCGGGUCUUUCCUUUGGACGAUCUUCUGAGGUCUGGAUCUGACUCUUGAUUAUCUCUUGAGUUAGCUCUAGCGUUCCUGCUGUCAAGCAGCCCUCUGCGUUGGACUCAUAGCCAGGGUGCAGUCAAGGUUUAUUAAAUGGCCAACAAGAGAAGUGGAGUGAGGUCAGACAGUUUCUAGGACGUUUCCUGGCUACGUGAACUUUCUUCUUUUUUUAAUACAUUUUUUGAAACAUGUAUUUAUUUUUGAAAGACAGAGAGAGACAGCACGAGUUGGGGAGGGGCAGAGAGAGAGAGGGAGGCACAAUCCGAAGCAGGCUCCAGGCUCCGAGCUGUCAGCACAGAGCCCGACGUGGGGCUCGAACUCACAAACCGAGAGAUGGUGACCUGAGCCAGAGUCGGACACUUAACUAACUGAGCCACCCAGGUGCCCCUACAUAAACGUUAAUUCUGUGAGAUUAACUGGAAAUGGUGCUUGGGGCCCGGCAGUCCCUGCACGUGUGGGUUCGGUGCCAAUAUAAGGAUGCGAGAAGUAACCCCUUCAUUAUUUGCUGAGCCCUUGGACGUGAUCCCAUGAGGUCCUCUGAACCGGUAUUAUUCUAUUAUGUACGUGAAUAUUCUGAAGCACGGACACAUCGGCCAUUUUGCCCAAGCAUUGCCACCCCCAGAAAUGCACUUAUAAAGAACUGGGCAAAUAAUUAUUGAGUCGAUUGUGUGGCAGAGAAUUAAAGAAGGUUAUAUACCGUCCAGCUGCGUUUUUUGCGGAUGCCGGGUUUGUGAAUUCACCCGCUCACUAAAGUUUAUCUGUAAUCCAAAUGUGCCAUCGAUGCUCACGGUGCUUUCACUGUUAUCGUGAAUCUCUGCAGGGUGGUGACAAUUUCUAUUUGCCCAAUGCGCAUGUCCCCUGCGGAGGUUGAACGAGGCCACGCCCUGUCUUCUUGUUUCAGCUCUCAUAUGGAGAUCCCCAGAGGCUGGAGAGGGCAGGGGCCAUUCA